GCGAAAACGAAAGUGCUGGAAGGGUCACGGGCUUCCCAGAGUCCUGGCCCAUUAACAGCUGAAGGCCCAGGCCAGGGUCCCCUGCAUCUGAUAAGCCCAAGCUGGCCUCGGCCUGCCUGGACUGCCGGAGAGCCCGGGGUCUUCUGGGAGAGCCCCAACCCGGGCAGGGGAGUGCAGGCAAGCAAACCGAGCUGGUGACUGCCGGAGUUCACAUACAUUUAUUCAAUUGACACCAACGAGGAGUGGGGGGAGACAUUUUUCUUUUCUUCCACACAAACCAUCAGACGAUUUCGGAGUCUCCCCACAGUAGAGAAGUCUAAAUCAAUGCACACCCAGUGGACAGAGAACGCAGAUAGCAGCCCGCUGUACAGAUAUUUACAAAUAAUUACAGGACCCCCUGCCACAGGAUGUGCCCUCACCCACCCCACCCCCACCUCUCCAGCCCCUGACCCAGACCUCCUCUCCCACCCAAACCUCAUUGCUUUUAGCUACAAUAAAUAUCCCAGGGCCUGGGACAGAGCAGAGCACUAAGAGGACUGCUGGCCCUGGGUGGCUGGACCCAGCCGGCCACGGGAAAGGGGAAAAGUUCCUUCAAAAGCACCCCAACACAAAAGAGGGAGGAUGUUUCUCGGCGGGGUGGGACUCCGCAUGGAUUGUGGAGACCCCUCGCUUCACCUCUUCGUUCAGCUUCGCCUGUGUAGACACUCCUUUAUAGGCUUCAGAGAGAAGGAACCUCCUUGGAGAACAGCAAGGAAAAAAAGUUGAAUUCUUCUUUUGAGCACAAAGCGGAUAAUAGAUGUCUUUAAAUUAUAAUAUUGGACAAGCAGGGCCUCAAAGCCGAGGAAGGAGUGAGCGGGAUGCAGAAAGAGAGACCCCUCUGCGCAGUUGGUGCUUCUGGCGGGACCCGCGGGGCCUGGGCAGGCUUCUCUCCAGGACAGCAAUUCUUCCGGGGCUGCCGGGAGAAAGCGAAGACUCCCCCCGCCCCCGUUAUACUGCUCAAAUUGGAACCGGAUCGUGGCUUGCGAACUCGUCGCGUAGACCCGGGCCUCUCCCUGAGCGAUGGAGCCCGCUUCGUCCCAACUGUCGGCGAGAUUCUGAGCGUGGAGCCUGAAGUGCCAAGUCACGCGCGCCGGCCCAAGGUCUGGCGACUCUUCAUAAAUAGACUCCCUGAGUUCCUCUGGGACCGCAGGAGCUCCCGGGAGAGGCUUAGGAGUGCGGGCCUAACUGGCCCUGAGCCGACGCGGUCAGAAGUGGCAGCCACUGAGACCGGCGACUUUGCCGGCAAACGGAGGCCCUGAGGACAGGAGCGCGUCCCCGGGGUGCGAGAGGCGGAUGUGGCCGGCCACUGGAGCCAGGGCUGGGGCAGUCAGCAUGGCCAAGACCUGGGCUUGACCGCCAGGACCCGCCGCCGCCGCGAACGGCGAUCCCGGGGAGCCCUCGCCUCCGCCCGGGGGUGCUGCCCCGCCGCCGCCGUGGCCCAUGAUGUGGUCUAUGGAGAAGGAAGGCCUCUGGCCGGCCCCGGCGCCCCCGCCGCCCGCACCACCGCCCGCGUCCGUCUUGAGGCCCUGGCGCAGGAGUGCGGUGGACAGACCAGCCGCGGUGCCGGCUGCGGGAGGGCUCAGCGACGCGGGGUAGAAGGCUUUGGCGCAGCCCAGCUCCGCGCCCAGGAAGGCGGGCAGGCCUGCGGGGCCCGGGCCCGACCCUGUGCCCGGGGCAGGCGCAGGGGCCGGAGCCGAGGCUGCGCCUGCGAACACCGAGGCCGUCGGAGGUCCGGGUGGAGGCGCGGCGGCACGGCCUGGGGGUACCGACAGCUGGCAAGGAGCGGCGGCGGCGGCGAAAGCGAAGGCGUGCGGGUGUGGAUGCGGAUGCGGGGCCGGGCCCGGCGGCGGUGCGCCGUAGGCCGGGAGAGCCAACCCGUAGCCAUAGCCGUAGGCUCCGUAAGCGGCGAAACCCGGCAGAAAGGCGCCGGGGUCCCCCGCCGCCGCAGCCCCGCCACGCAGCAGCAGCUCCGGGUGAGGGUGCGUGUGUGGAUGCGGCGGCGGCAGCGGCUGCCGCUUGAAGCGCUUACGGCGCCGCAGGAAGCUGCCGUUGUCGAACAUGUCGGCCGACUCCGGGUCCAGCGUCCAGUAGUUGCCCUUGCCCGGGUUGCCCGGCUCGCGGGGAAUCUUGACGAAGCAGUCGUUGAGCGAGAGGUUGUGGCGGAUGCUGUUCUGCCAGGCGGGGAACUUCUCCCGGUAGUAGGGGAAGCGGCCGCUGAUGAACUCGCAGAUUUCACUCAGCGUCAGGCGCUUCUUGGGGCUCUGCAGGAUGGCCAUGGUGAUGAGCGCGAUGUACGAGUAGGGAGGCUUCACCAGCGGGCUCCGCGUCGCCGCGCCCCCCGACGGCGGUCCCGGCCCGGGGGCCCCGCCGCGCCCCGGGCCGCCGCCGCGCCUGGCCGGGGCUUCCCGCUGCGGCCGCCGCCCCCCGGGGCGCUAGAGCGCGGGGCUCGCCGUCCGAGCAGCCGCCCGACUCCUCGUCCUCAGCUGCGUCCGCCUCGGCUUCCUCCGAGGGAGGCUCGGGGCCGUGCGGGAGCACGUCCCGGGGGGCGCGGGGCCCGGAGCGGGCAGGGAGCUCCCCCCCACCGCUGCCGCCGCCGCCGCCGCCGCCCACUACGUCUAUGUCUGCGUCGGCCUCGGACAGCGCGGCCGGGGAGCUCUCGGAGGACAUGAUCUCGCAGCAGCAGCUGCCCAGGGUCAUGGUGCCGCCGCCGCCGCCGCUCUCCGGCUCCGCUCCGGCCGCGGCUCGGGCUCCGCCGCGCUGCCUCUGGGGCGAGUGUGUUUUGCGCGCGGGCGGGGAGGGGGCGGGGGACUGAGGCGGACAGGGAGGGGUGUCCCCCAGCUUCGCAGCGCCCCCUCGUGGCCCGACUCGGCCGCUCUCACCUCUCGGGGAGUACCCGACCCGCGGCUCUCUCCGCUGCCCCGGGAGCCCGAGCGGGGGCCUGCACGCCGGGGCGCGGGCGGAAGGAGCUGAGGCCUCCCCUCACCCUGGCCGGUCUCGGCCCCAGUCCCCCCGGGGCGGGGGGGGGUCCGGGUAUUAGUCCCUCCCGCCCAGCGGCUGCCCAAGGCGGAAGAGCGCGAGCCCGGGGCGGAGCUCCCUCAGCGGGGUGGGGCGGGGCGGGAGGGGGCGGGCGGAGUGUCUCCGCGGAGGGGCCCGGCGGGAACAAACAGCCGCCGCGGCGGGAGCUCGGCUCCGGUGCCGGAGGCGAGUCCUCCUCUUCCCCGCAGAUCCCGCAAACCUUUCGCUCCCUGGAGCCGCUGCCUUCAGUGCGUUCGGCCCCUGGAUGUUAAGGUUCACGCGGGUGCCAGCGGGAGCCGGGAGAAGGAGCGACAGCGCCCACCCAUCGUCGCCCCAAGGCAGAGACAGCGCCCGGGCCACCAAGGCCGAAGCGCAGUCGGAGCUGGAGCGGGAGCCUGAGACGCCCAGACCAGCGCCGCCCGAGGAGAGCGGGGCCCGCCGCCGCCCGAGCGGCUUCCGGCCCAAGGGGAGACGCACUUGAGUGAUCGCGAGGAGCGAACUUGGCACUCUCAGCCUCGGGCCUCGGAGAGGCUCUACAGACGGACAGCAAGGACCCCCACGGAGACCUCCAGUGAACCCUGACCUUAGCCCCGGGCCAGUGUUGCCUCCAUCUCUCAGCAUCCUGUGCUCACAAGCCUCAGUUUCCCGCUGUGCAUAGUAGUUAAGAGCAAGGAUCCUGGAAUCAGGCUACUGCAUCCUGGCUUCACUACUCACCAGCUCUGUCACCUUGGAUAAACUCUUCAUGCCUGUUGCUUUCUCUCUAAAGUUGAGAUUAAAAACACCUACCUCUUGAUUAAUAUGUAAAAGUAGCCCUCACAUUCGCCUACUUAUGAGAGGGUAUGGAGAGCACAUUGCAGACUCUUGGGCAGAGAGAAAGUGGUUGGGGGUGGUGUAGUCUCCCACCUGGAUCUCCAGGCCUGGUCUAGCUCCCCACUGGGUUACCGCUGCCACCUGAUCGUCCUCAGUCACUGUGCUGAAUUAGAUCCCCUGUAGAUAAGCGCUGGGAGCAGGGGGGAGGGAAUUUGCAGCCCCUGCAGGCGCUCUCCCAGCAGGGCUGGUGUGCGUGUGGAUGAAUCCUCCCUUUUAUCCAACAGCAACCUCCAGUCUAUGGAAUAAUCUGGUGUAAAUCGAACUCCCUCAUUCCACAGGUGGGUCAAGAGAGGCCCAGAGAGGGGAAGGGGCUCACCUAGGCUCCUGCGACAAGAUAGAGCAGGGCCGGGGACAACCCUUGUCACAGAAUCCUCAUGACAGAGUUCUCUAUCCUCCCAAGCCAGAAGAGGAUGGAAGGCAGGUCUGGCUGCUCAUGUCCUGUGAGAGCAAGUCCUCUGGGCUGCUCUCUGGGGCCUCAGACCGAGGGGAUCUAUCUAAUGUGCUGGGUCUGGAUAAACACACUGUUCUUGGGAAAAAGAGAAGAGGUCCAGUGCUCAAACCAUGGACAGGCAAUUGGGCAGGGACUAGUGGCCUGGAAUCAGAAUUUCUUAGGUGAUAGGGCUCUCCAGAAAAAAGGGGCCUUGGAGAACAGUUUCUUGCAUGAAUCCAGAUAAACUUACAUGCCUAGGGCUGCUAGAUUUGGCAGAUUUAUUUUAUUUGCCAACCCUACACUUACCCCAGGCUUGCUCAUUGCUACAUGGAGAUCUCUCUCCCACUCAUAGACACCCCACACUACCACCCACCAGCUCCAACUAGCCCAGCUCUACUAGUGUCUAAGGAAAUGGAGAGAAAAGCAGCAUUGGCAUCAUGUGACUCCUUCUCAACUGGUGAAUGUCUUCAUUUCUAAAAUGGCAAAUGUGAACACGUGGCUUCCUUCCUUGCAGUGCUCUCCUGGUCCCCCAGGUCGCAGCCCCCUGCCCAGCUUCAGGGUUAGACUGGCUGAGGCAUUUGCUGCCCAGAUACUCUGGUUCUAACACGCCAGGCAAGACGCUCUACUGAGCACCAGCGGCUGCCAGCCCUUGCCUCUGCCUGGCCCUGCUGCACACUGGCUGCGGCUGAGACCUAGGUCGGGGAAAGGGGAUACAGGCCUCUCAGCUCCUGUUCUGAAAGGUGAGGGUGGGACACGAUCUCAAGGAAUCAUGCAGACUCUUCAAACACACACUUUUACAGUGUGUAACUGUAGGCUCGAGAGAUCAUGUGACUUGCUGGGCUUUUGAAGGGCCCCGGUUGGGCUGGACCCAGGUGUGGAGACUCCUGGCCCAGAGCUCCUCUAGUUAUCCCAAUAACUCUGCUUGGCCCCUGGCGGAGCUGCACGCUUGCCUGGAAGAGGUAUUUCUGGGAGCCUGUCAUCCCUCCCGAGGUUCUGGGCCACCUUGUUUUGAACAAUUCCAGGCGUAGGUGCACUGGGGGCUGGGAGAGGGGCAUUCGGGAUUCCUUCAGUUUUCCUGUCCUUCUCUCGUGUGGGCUUCUCCCACCUGCCGGCUCAGCCUCUUCGACGUCUUCGAGCCGCCGUCUGCGACCCCGCCUGGGUCUGUCACUCCCCUCCGCGAACACCUGGGCGCCUUCCCAGCAGCCUGGGCUGCAGCCUCUACGAAGUACGAGUGACGGGCUCUGUGGGUCUUGGUUACAAUGUCAGUUCGUGCCCCGCCUCUUCCUUCGUCUGCCUCGCUAUUUGGCCACCUCCUUCGAGCAGCCCAGAAACAAUUGGGAGGAGGCACUUGGCGGGGGGAGAGCGCCUGUUCCGGGGAUUUUCCACUCCAAAAUGUUCGGAUAAUCGGGGAGCCGUCGUUGCGUGUUUUGCGAUGUGUUGAUCUCAGUGGUGUGCCUCCGCUUAUGGCCCCUCCCUUGCCUUCUUAUGGUCCCUGUUCAUGCUGUUUUCCUCGCCUCGGGGCAGUGAGAGCUCUCAGAUGAUUAUGAGAAUAUUAUUAAGUCAGUUGCGAAACUGGCGAAGAGCGGAGCUGAGCUAGCGGCGGGGAUGCUGCGCGGACGAUCGCGCGCGGCCUUCCCAGGGUUCGAGUUCUUCCACGCGGCGGUCCGCUCCGCGCAGCCCGGUGGCAAAGCGCGGCCUGAGCUGGGCAAGGGGACCCCGCGCCUGCACACUUCUCUGAUUUUCUUCACAAACCUGGCCAGCCACGGGACAAGCGCGAAACCGGCGUGGCCGCCGCCCCUUCCCACCCUUCCACGGGCCGCAGCUCUGGAGUGAGCGAGACGGUUGCUUGGCCGCGGCUGAUACAUCUCCUGACCCCUCUCUCCACCCAGAUCUUCGCCUGCUCAAGAGCGAUUGGCUCCCUCGGCCCGGGUGGGAGAUGGGAGACUCGAGAUCUUGUGACCUGCAGGGGCAGACCUCAGGCGGCGGGGCUCCCCACCCACAGAAGCCGGACUCCCGGUUAGAGUUCAGGGAGAGGCCCGACCCUCUGCAAGCACCGAAUGACAGGGCCUCCAGCUUGUGCGCCUUCACUCCCGCAGACCACCUGUGAAGCCCAGGCGCCGGCUCAGGUUCGGGCGCCUCUGCAGUACCCGCCACACCUGUGUAUCCUCCGCUUCUCGGAGGAAAUGUCCAUCUUUCUGUCCUUCCAUUACGCCUGGCCACGGUCUCCUCCCAGCUCCCCCUCCCCCAGGGCUACGUGGUGGGAGGCUCGAGCACGGCGUGGCGAUUGGGACCCGGGCCAGCUGCGGAGCCUGUCGGCUCUCUUUCGUGGGAAGAGGGUUCCGGGCUCAGGAAAGGGUGAAAACAGCGCAGCUCCUAAACCCCGGACCUAGGGCGCCGGCUUCGCAGCGACACGCCUGGGAGAUGUGCAGCCAGGGGCAGGGGAAUGAGGGACGUUUCCAAGUGUCUGGAGCGAGCGUGAGCCUCAGAUCUGUGCCCCUACUGUCUGAGUGCAUCCUGGGUUCAGGGCCCAAGGGCCUGUUUCUCCGUCCGCAUGUGUGUGUGUGCCCCUCCUGGUGAUGGUGGCUCUGUGUGUCUGAGUACGUCCCUGAGCCUGAGUGCCUGUCCUGAGUCCCCCCUCCCGAUCGCCCGAUCUGUGCUGGGGACUGCCCUGGAAGGCUCGCCAGCUAGGCCCACCGCUCUACCCAGAGCAUGAAGCGGCGCGACCUGGACGGGGACUCAAACCCACUCCGGGCCGCAGCGUGACCCCGGCAGGGAAGGAGGAUGUGUGACGGUGCGAGCCUGGGUAGAGGUCUGGGACUAUGGCGGGGAGAGGGAGGAGAGCGCACAGGGACCGGGCAGAGGAGAGCUGGGACGACCAGCGGCGGCCUCCUUCCCACCAAUUACACGCCGCCUGCUGGAGCAGCAAUACCUCGGGCACCGGACGCCCUUCCGCAGCCCAGAAUUGGGGCGGGGUAGGAGAAAAGAGGGGGCAUAGCCAUCCAAACCAGGUCCCCCUACGCACCAUACACACACACACACACACACACACACGUGUACACACACACCAUCGCGUUUAGGCUUUCGGAGCCCCAGGCAGGGUAACCGGCGAGGCCGUAAGCCCCGCUUGCGCGAGGAAUAUUGCCGGGUGCCUGAGCCUUCCAGAGCCUCUGCGGAGCCGCGUAAGCCCCACAGAAACAGCAAGAGGACGAGCCAGAGUUCUGCCUUGCCGUGCAGACGCUGGGACAGAUUCCUGGGGAACAGCGACCUCUGGAGGAGCCGCUUAUCCACGCAAAGAAUCAGAACUAGACGACCAGGUCUGGAACCAACGCUCCCUUUCCCCACCGCACCCUUUUGGCAAAGUCAUCCAAAGACUCCUAACCUCCGGACUCCUCUUUGCACAUGCUUGCUCUUUUCCUAACCUGUACCCAUGCUUCAAAUCCUUGCUCAAGUCCCUCCUUCUCCAGAAAGAAGCCUGGAGAGCCCAACCCAUCUUCCCCUCUUCCUUUCUGAGCUCCCCAGAACCCACAGCUUGAACCCUCCACUCGAGCACUCCCACACUGCCCUGCACAGCCGACCUGCUUCCUGCCUCGCCCUUCUCCAAAGAGACCGUUAAUCCAUCCACUCCACCCACCCUUCUACAUUGCAUGCUGGGUGUGCUGUUUUUCUUUCCCUCUGGUAAAUAAAGACUGAAGUCAUUUAUCCCAAAAGUGGACUGUAGGUUUUCAAAGCUAGUCUCUCAGAUGGGAAAAUUGAGACCCAGAGAAGGGCUGACUUGUCCACGGUCACCACACAGCAAAUGGGUAGCAGAGGUGGAACUAGAUCCCCAGUCUCUCAUUUCCCGGGGUCCUCCCCAUUUCACGGGUAUGGGAGCAGGUAAUGUGGGGGAGGACUCAUUUUUGAGGGGCAAGGCCUGGUUGGGGGAUUUUUGGCAUAGGAGAGGGGAAAGGCAGGAGGGAACUAGGGGAGGGGGCACUGCUCUGGAUGGGUCAGUACAGAAGGAAGGGGGGCAGGAAGCAAGGAAGGGGGGGCUGACAAAGGUGCCCUGGAAGGGCAGACCCUUCCUGCCCCAGCCCCAGCCCAGAUCAAGCUACUUUGAAGGGCUCCAAAUUUCAGGCAUUGGCUGAGUGUCUUACAUCAGCAAGUGGGUCAGGUGGAGGCUGGGAAGAGACUCAAUCCAGGCAAAUACCACCCUUCUCUCUGCCCUGGGCAGUGACAGAGGGGCUGAGAAACCUCUGCUGCUAAUACACACCCAGAGGGCGCUACUGAGACUCCAGCUCAACAGGAGGAGGCCUCCUGGCGCUGUAAUUAUAAAGUUAAAGGAGAAGCUGGGAGGGUGGUUUGCAUGUAAUUUGCAUGAGGCCCCAGUGGUACCUGCCUGGCUGCCUAAGGCCUUCUCAGAGAUGCAUUGCUUUCUGGACAUCAUGUGCUUGUCUGCCCUGGCUACUGGAAGCCUGCCCCACACCCCCAUCUUCGCUUGUCCAGUCUCACCUCCAACCCCUGCACUCCACUUGCACCUGAUUUGCUCUUUCUCACCUCUUCACCUUGGCAUGUGGCUCACUCCUCCCUGGGUCACUGCUAAUCUUCCGUCCAUUCCAAAUGUCAAGCUUUAUGAGAUGCUUCCCCCAUGACAACACCCCACAUUGGCCAGGCUGUGAAGGGCUCCUGCCUCUGUGCUCCUAAAGUACUUAGCUCCCUCUGUUGUCAUGACUUGUUUUCCAGUCUUUGGCCCUCUGUAGACUGUGAGCUCCUUGAGAACAGGCAUUAUGUUGUCUUCAUCCUCAUCUUUCCUCCUCUACCUGGUGGGGAUAAUGUACCUAUCUCAAUGAGUUGUUGUGGGAUUAAAUGAGAUAUUGCAUAAAAAGCACUUAGCCCAGUGCCUGAAAUUUUGAAAGAGCUCAGUAAAUGUUUCUAAUUAGCAUCAUCAUUGUUAAUCACUCUACCUCCUGCUGGGCACAAAACCCAACACACAUAGGUACCCCAUUAAUGUUAGAUAUGUGGAUACGUGAACAAAUGACUGAGUGAGUGAGUGGUGUGGCAUAUCUCUCCCUCUUGUCUGGAACUCCCCAGAAAGCUAGUUUACAUCAUCAAUACAAAUAAUUGUUCUCCAAGGACAGACAUCGUUUCUCCCCCAUCAGUUUCUCCCCAUCAGGAGAACAUGUCCCGCAUCAGAGAGGGUUUUCCAUGGCCCCUGACCCCAGCAGUCACUGGAUUUCUCUGUUGAGCUCUUUGCCUCCGUUUCCUUCUUUUAAAAUGGUUACAACCAGCCAAACCCUGCCAAAAUCUUCCAGGGGCUCCCCACUGCUUCUAAGACAAAAUUCAGUUUCCUUAGUCUGGUAAGCUGAACAGGUUUACAGUUUUGGGUGUCCCACCUCUCCAUUGGCUAAGACCUCCCCUCCCAUAUUCCCUGUGGUCUUGAUGGGACUGUCCGAUCUCUGUCCUCCUCACCCUUACCUCCGGGAGCAGACAGGCCACCUGGCUGGAUCAAACAUGGCAGUGAAGUCAAGGGCCUAGUGAUUGGUCUAGGCAGGAGUAAGCCACCUAAACCAAGCCAAUGGCUGCUUUUACAAGAUUUGAUAUAUGGACUCUGGGGCUCCAGGACAUAUGGACUCUGGGACUUCGGGAGUGGUGCCUCUCCUUUCGAAUUGAAAGAUAAACACUAUCCUUCCUGCUAUGUGGAGAGCGCUGUGUGACAUGGAAGCCCAUACACAAAGGGAAACAGCCUAAAGAGAGAAAUAGAGCUUAGUAACAGUGUUAGUCCCCCAAAUCUGCCUGAAGUUAGAACACUUAGACUUUCCAGACAUUCUAAAAAUAUUCCCCCUUUUGCUUAACCUAGGAUUGCAUUGAAUUUCUGCUAGUUUGAGUCGAAUGUCACAAACAGCAGAACCACAAGAGAGAAGGAUCUUGGGUCCCUGAGACCACUGAGGUGCCCUGCCACCCUGAACUGCCAGCACAGACUUUUAUGUGAAAAGGAAAUAAACGUCAAUCUUGGUUAAGCCAUUGUUGCGGAAUUUUCUCAGGGGGUGGGGUUGAGUCUGUUACUCACAACUGAACUUAAACUUAAUUAAUACAGGAAGGGAUGGGAAAUUCCAAUAGGGCUGUUGCUCAGAGAUACUAUUUUGAUAGUAGUGAGCUCCCCAUCAUGGAAAUGCAUGAGCAGAGGCUGGGUAAUCACUGGGCAGGAAUCUUAGAGGCAGCCAGGUGCAGCAGAAAGAGUACAGGUCUUAGGGCUGGGUUCACAUUUUGCUCCGACCACUUAAUAGUUUCAGACAAAUAAUCUCUCCAAGCCUCAGUUUCCUCAUUUGUAAAGUAUCUAGACAGCUGGGUUGGAUAUGGAGACCAAGGAGAUUUCCUAGGCUGCCACCUUGCAGGGACUCCUGAGACCUAGUACUCUAGUUGGAGCCAACUAUGGGUCAGGAGCCCUCAGUGAGUUUCUUGCUCCCCUCUCCAGCCUUGACAUUUUGGAGGAUGCCUGCUCCAACUUGCCAGGAGAAUGCACCUCCUCCUCUGUUCAUGCAACUGGAUGGCGAGGAGCAGUGGGGCCUGAGUGGAGAGGCCUGGGAUCUACCCCCAGUCCUGCCCCUGCCGUCCUGUGUAACCUCAAACAUGCGUCUGCCCUUCCCAGGUCCCCAGUUUCCUCAUCUGACAUGUGAGAAAUGCAGCCCCUGUCCUGGACAGCCUGCCUCCAGAGUCAGGUCUCAUAACCACUGUGCCCUCCCUACGGUUCCAAAUGUGAGCAAUUGCCAUUCACGGCAAUAAUCAUCAUCAUGUUUCUGCAUGGCCUUGCCCUGCCCAGGCUCCUGCUCAUCCUGGCCUAGGUCAGCCCCAAAUGGCAACAUCUGCUACAGGAGCUGACAUCACAGGUCUGGGCCAGCCCCCAGGUUCCCAGGCAGCUGAGGGCCUUGUUUCCAGCCAUGGAGUGUGGCUGCCCCUUAGCCACAUGCGUCCCUCUCACAGGGGGCUCUGCUUGAUCUGCCCUCACCCACUUCCUCCCACAAAGCUGAGGCCACUCAGCUUUGAGGGGUUAGAGGCAAUGAAAUGGGAAAUCUGAGGCCAGAGAGGAGCAGAUUUUAAGACAUGAUUGUAUGAUCAGAAGAAGGGAGUCACAGUUGAGGUCCCAGCUGGGGAGGGCGGGGCAGGGGAGAUGACAGCAUUCAACAGGAAGCCUAGAGGCCCAGAGGUCCAAAGAGCCCGAAGGUCCCGACACCUGCCCCUGAUGCCCAGGAUUUGGGGGCUAGAAGGGAGAAGGAGCAUCACCCUGGACAGACUGACAGCCAGGGCGCAGACCCCACCCAGGGUGGAGGUGCUAAGUGCCCAGACUUCCCAGAUCCAGAGGCCAAAACAUCUGGUAAGGGGCCCUGGAGAGAGACUUUGAUGGGAAGGCCACUGGGGAGGAGGGCAAAGAGGUUUGAGAAGAUGAAAUUCUGACCACGGUCACCAACUGUCCCUUUGAGAAAUAAAAGAGGACAGCUGCCGAAAGAGCCUGUGUGACCACACAGGGAGCUUGGUGUCCUGACAAGGGCUGAGUGGAAAUGCACUUCUAGGAAUUUCUCCUUCAUGUAUACCUACACAGGUGAUGUAUGCCCAAGGUGUCACUGCCGCUGGCUUUGGAAUGACAAAGGGUAUGAAAUAACGUACAUGUCCACGAUUAGGGGGUUGAUUACACAAAUAAUGGCCCAUCCAUAUAAGGGAAUAGUAUGCUGUGUAAACUAGAAUAAAGAAGUUCUAUAUAUAUUGAUCUGGAAAGAGCUCCAAGAUAUGUUGUUGAGUGAAAAAAAUCAAGAUACCUAACAACAUAAACAUUAUGCUUCCAACUGUGGUUUGUUUUUUUUUUUUUUAGGAAGAUUAGCCCUGAGCUAACUACUGCCAAUCUGCCUCUUUUUGCUGAGGAAGACUGGCCCUGAGCUAACAUCCGUGCCCAUCUUCCUAUACUUUAUACGUGGGACGCCUACCACAGCAUGGCUUGCCAAGCAGUGUCAUGUCUGCGCCUGGGAUCCGAACCGGCGAACCCCAGGCCACUGACGCAGAACAUUCGCACUUAACUGCUGCACCACCGGGCCAGCCCUCCACUGUGUUUUUUUAAGGGGGAAAAUAAUGUAUAUUUGUUUUGGUUUGUAUAUGCAACAAAAAUAUGUAGGAGGAUGAAUAAAAACUGAACAACUGAUUAUCUGUUGAGGCAAAUGGGGAACAAAAAUGGAGGUGAGACUUUUCACUGAAUACUUUUUUUAUAUGGAAUCAUUCCAAUAAAUAAGGCUGAGUGUGCAGAACUGAAGAGUAAUGAAGGCCAUUACUACAUGCUGGGCACUUCCUAUGGGCUCCAACAUGAACUGUGGUUGGUGGCUGUAGUUUUGAAGGUGGGACGUGAAAGCAAGACUUACUGGGUGCCUCUGAGCAUUGGCCUGCCACCCGUCAGGCAGGGAGGUAGGUGGGUCUGGUAGCUAGGACCCCAGACUUUCUACCUUGCCCACCUUCUCUUCUGUCCCCAUCCUUCUGUCUUUGCCUCCUCUCUUGGUCCCACCGAAAUUGCUCUGGAAGUAGUCAGACUUUUUCAGUUUGACAAGCUAGACAAGGAUUAGGAUGGAGGAAAGGGUUUUAUAGAAACUAAAAUAGCAGGCUCUCCCCUCCCUUCCUUGAAAACCCCAAACCAGAGCUCACCUCCUCCAGGAAGCCUUCCUUGUGAGGCCCACCAAGCCCCAACCCCUCCACAUUGCAGGGAGAUGGUCUGAUGCCCAAGGUGGGGCCUGCGUCCUC
This is a long non-coding RNA of Equus asinus (donkey), 13102 nucleotides long. The record is from Ensembl. NCBI's taxonomy places the organism in Eukaryota, Metazoa, Chordata, Mammalia, Perissodactyla, Equidae.